RNAcentral lists this long non-coding RNA (12110 nucleotides) under Panax ginseng (ginseng). Its description in RNAcentral is "long non-coding RNA (PGIN_LNC004262)". The record is from RNAcentral. Lineage: Eukaryota; Viridiplantae; Streptophyta; Magnoliopsida; Apiales; Araliaceae.
CACUAUCUUACAUUGUUGUACCGAACUCUUAGUUGAUGUGACACCCCCAAAUCUUGGUACUUCAUUCCCCUAAGACUUGGUGUUCACUUUCCAUACAUUCAUACUAUCUACCCAAAUAAAAUAACAUUUAAACCAUAAAUUCUCCCUUUAAAAGGGUUACAUCAUUAAAUCCAAAAAAAUAUCCCAGGUUAUCUAACCUUUAAAUACAAUCAUUCAAAUGCGAAAAAUUAAAUAUCAUCAUUACAUCGAUAAAAUAAAGUCUGACAACAGAAAUGUCAACAUGAAUACAAGUCUUCAAUACUUCUUCAUCGAUCCAUUUCCUUUACUCGUGCUAGGUACAUCAACCUUCUCAACUUUAACUGUAAUUUUUAUUUAAGCAAGAGUGAGCAAACAUAGCUCACUUAAGAUGAUAAUGAAUAAAACUUUACAUCCACUUCCAAAUAUUAGGCACCAUGGAACUGAACAAAAUGUUUUAUCAAUGAUAAUCAGAAUCAUAAAAUAUCUAACUGAGGGUCAUAAGACCACGAAAAAUGUCCAUAGUUAUAAGUAAUCUUUCAACUUAAACUUUAACAGUCAUAAGACUAUAGGGUCUCCUCAUACUUAGGGGGAUCAACCAUUCGUACAAUGUAUUGUGCACAAACAUUUUAACGUUGUGCGUAAGUUAUCCCCUAACAAUAGGGUUGUUCAUCUCAGCAUUUAGAAUACGAGUCCACACCAAAGUAAGUUUGGUUUGGAUAAGUUUCAAGGUAAUUUGGAAUUCAACGAACAACAACUACGGAGUAGUUGAAUAAAAAGGUACUAACUUUAUGUUAUGGAGUAAAUCAUAACGGAAUUAACAUUGAAUACUAAUGUCAUACUUUAGGAAUAAUCUAAGAGCAUAAACAUUGAAUAAUUAUAACAUACCUUGCUUGAACAAUAUUAAGCCAAGAUUAUUUAGAAUUGAGUACUAAGCAUGCAUAACAAAUAAUAAAGUGAACGAUAAAACUUGAUCAACAUUAGUAUAUCAGAAUAUAUAAACUUGCAUUCUAAAUAACAAGUUAAAGACAAAAAUAACUUGCUCAAUAAUAACAAGGUAGAGUAAGAAACUUGCUCAAUGAAAAUGUAGAGUUAGAACACUUGCCAUAAUGCGAAUGUUCAAUAAUAAUAUUAGAUGUGGAAUCAUCAACAAUAAUUAUCCACUAACGUGCUUGAAAAUUAACAACUCGAGUUUGAGUUAGAGAACUUGUCUUGCUUGUAGGCUAAAUCGUAAUAGUUUGAUUCACAAUAUCCUAAUUACAUAUCAUUAGGAUACAAUUAGUCGUUACAAAUAUUCUAUAAGUAUUUAUUUCACGUAUGAUUUGAUUGUUAACCAUAUAGUCAAAUUACAUCAAUAAAUUAAUAAUAAAACUUGUUAGGUGUUAAUAACAUGCUUGUUCUUAGCACUAUAAUACCAUAAUAACAAAAUUAGAUGUUUAACAGUCAUCAUAUUGCAUUACAUUAACAAUUACAGACUUUUGUGCAAAACAAAAGUCAUUCCUGGACCUACUGCUAACCGGCGCUAGGGUGCCAAAGUUUGCACUGUGGACCGCGCUGUGGCACGGUGAUGGCGCUGCAGAGCAAAGCCCAGACCACUAGCCGGCGCUGCAGCGCGAAAGUCGAGCUUUGGCUCUGACUUUGGCGCUAAGGCGCGAAGUUUAGAGCUGUUGCACUGAUUUUGGCACUGAGGCGUCGAAACAAACAGAACCCAACAUGAAGAACAAAACAACUAAAUUCUGAACUGAUUAACACUACUAACAUCUAAAUUAAGACGCAUAACUUACAUAGAUUACUCAUAAACAUUACCAAGCAUACAUAUACUAAUUUAAAACAACUACACAAUAACUUUUGAAAGACCAAAUCUUUGAAUGCCAUAUUUUCAAUUAAAACUCCAUUUUUGACAAAAUUAACAUUGUAAUCCCAAAAGGAAAUGACCUAUGUAUACAUAUAUGAUAGUUAUCCUAUUACAACCACAUAUGCACAUGAUUUCAUCACCCAUUAUAAAAAAAAUAUGGAUUUUAGACAAUUUUUGUAAAGAAUUUUGUACUACAAUCAAGAACACAGAGAACGUAAAACGUAUAUAGUGUUAAGCUUAUGGGAAAAUACCUUUUGUUUCUUUGAAAAUCCUUUCACUGAGAAUCGCUUGAACACUCAGAACUUGCUUUGAAAUCCUAGUCUUUUCUCUCUCAAACUCUCUCAAAUUCUCUGACAACUUUUCUUCUCUGAAAACCCUUUUCUUUUCUUUUCUUUUCUUUUCUUAGGCUUAAGCCAAUUAUUUUCCACGUAUAAACAAAUACACCCAACGCCUACAACCCAAACGUACGAAACUACCAUAUACUUAAUAUAAUAAUAAUUACAUGUCAAUUAUAACAUAUUUAAUAUAUAUUAUUUAUAUUUUAAUUAUUUUAUUUAUAUUAUUAUAAUUCAAAAUUCAAAAAUCCAAAAGCCAUAAGGCUCCAUUUGGCAAAACCCUUUAAAAAUUAAAGACUUAAUAUAUUUAAGCUUUGUUUGGCAAAACUAAAUUAAACUCCUUUAAUUUUUAAUAACUCCUUUAUAAUAUAGUUAUUUGUCACACUUUACUUAAUGAAGUUUUCAUUCUUAAUUUAAUUAAUUCUAAUAACAAUUUAUUGAAUAAAUAAUUUAAUCAUUAUACACUCUCUAACUUAAUUAUUAGAUUAAAUUAGAAUAUUAUCUCAUAAUAAUUAAUUUCCUUAGCCCAUUAAUUAUUUAUUAAACAAAUAAUUAACCAAAUCAAAUCAAAUCAAAUUAAACAAAUAGUAAUUCAACAAUAAACACAUUCAUUAAAUAUUUAUAUAAUUCAAUAAAUAUUUAAAAAUUAUAAUUAAAAUUCUGGAUUGUUACAUCCUUCCCUCCUUACAACGAUUAUGUCCCCAGAAUCACAACUCAAACAAAUUAUUCGUCACACUCUUCCCUCCUUACAAAGAUUUUGUCCCCAAAAUUGAAGACAUAGAUUAAACAAAUAACUCAGGGUAAUUCUUCAUCAUUUCAACUUUGAGUUCCCUCGUAGCCUCUUCGACAUUGUGGUUCCUCCAUACUACCUUCAUAGAAGGUAUCACCUUAUUCCUGAGCACUUGCUCUUUCUUGUCGACUAUCUGGAUAGGAACUUCUUCAUAAGACAAGUCUUUAUCAAACUGCAUUGGUUCGUACUCGAUCACGUGCUUGUAAUCGGGUUUAUACGGUCGUAACGUCGAAACAUAAAAAAUAUUGUGAACGUUUUCUAACUCUGGAGGUAGAGCUACCUCAUAAGCCACAUCUCCUACUUUUCACAGCACCUCGAAAGCUCCAAUAAAUCUUGACCUAAGCUUUCCCUUUUUACCGAAAUGAAUUUUUCACUUCCAAGGAGAAACUUUUAAGAACACGAAAUUUCCUACGUUGAACUCUCGAUCUUAUCUGUGUUGGUCAGCAUACUUCUUCUGUCUGUCUUGAGUAGCUACCAAUCUUGUCCUGAUGAGUUUAACAACCUCAGCAGUUUAUUAUACUAGUUCUGGUCCUAAUAGUUGGCGUUCACCAACUUCAUCCCAGCAUAGUGGAGUUCUGCACUUUCUGCCAUAUAAUGCUUCGUAAGGAGACAUGCCGAUACUCACGUGGUAACUAUUAUUGUAGGAAAAUUCUACCAAUGGUAAAUGUUCAUCCUAGCUCCCUUUGAAGUCUAUGAUGCAUGCUCUCAGCAUAUCUUCCAAUGUCUGAAUUGUUCGUUCGCUUUGGCCAUCUACUUGCGGAUGAUAAGCCGUACUCAUUCUUAACUUUGUUCCCAUACAUUCUUGUAGUCUCUUCCAGAAGUUUGACGUGAAUCGCGGAUCUCUAUCUGAUAUAAUUGACACUGGAACUCCAUAUCUCAAAAUGAUUUCUUUAACGUACAACUUUGCCAACUGAUCAAGAUUGAAUCUAAUCUUUAUUGGCAAAAAGUGUGCUGAUUUUUUUAGUCUGUCCACUAUAACCCAAAUCGCAUCGCAUCCUCUCUGAGUUAUUGGAAGACCCACCACAAAAUCCAUAGUGAUGUGUUCCUAUUUAUAUUCUGGUAUUUCCAACGGUUGAAGUACUCCACUUGGUCGUUGAUGCUCGGCCUUGACUCUUUGACAUGUCAAGCAUUUCGCAACACAUUCUGCGACCUCUCUUUUCAUGUUUGGCCACCAAAAGUGUCAUCGUAAAUCUUAAUACAUCUUCGUACUUCCUGGGUGAAUCGAGUAUCUUGAGUUAUGAGCUUCGGUCAAGAUUUUGUCUUUAAUCUCUGGUGCAGCUGGAACCUAAAUUCUUCCCUCGAAUCUUAGCAUUCCUUCAGUAUCAACCUUAUACUUCACCUCUUUACCCUUGACCACACUUUCCUUUAUUUUUCUGCAUUCUUCAUCUUGUAGUUGAGCCUUCUUCACCUUGUCCACUAAAGUUGGACCAGCUUCUAUCUGGAAUAGUCAUUCAUCAAAUAGUCAUUCAUCGAAUUCUUUUGGAAAUUUUAUUUUUAACUCUAGCUUUGUCAUUACUGAAAUAAGUUCCUCCUGAGUGGUUAUCAGCAUCAACUUUUCCAGACCUUUCCUACUUAGAGCAUCUGCAACCACAUUUUCUUUGCCUGGAUGAUAUAAGAUCUCGCAAUCAUAAUCUUUUAUCAAUUCCAUCCAUCUUCUUUGACGCAUGUUCAGGUCCUUCUAUGUGAAAAUAUACUUCAGACUCUUAUGGUCUGUGUAAAUCUCACAUUUCUCUCCAUAUAGAUAGUGUCUCCAUAUCUUCAGAGCAAAUACCACUGUAGCCAAUUCCAAAUCAUGAGUCAGAUAUCCCUUUUUAUAGUCCCUCAGUUGUCUUGAUGCAUAAGCAAUAACUUUUUCAUUCUGCAUAAGAACACAACCCUAUCCUUUAUGUGAGGCAUCACUAUACACCACAAAGUUUCCUGUACUAUCUGGUAACGAAAACACAGGUGCCACACUUAACUUCUUUUUCAAUUCUUGAAAACUUUCUUCACACUUCUCCAUCUAAAUAAAUUUUAUAACUUUCCUUAUCAAAUUUGUUAACGGAGUGGCAAUCUUGGAAAAGUCUUGAAUAAACCGUCUAUAAUAGCCGGCCAGUCCUAAGAAACUCCUCACCUCCGAAGGUGUCCUUGGUUGUUCCCGAUUGAUUACAGCUUCCACUUUUGAUGGAUCCACUAAAAUCCCAUCUUUGUCAAUCACAUGCCCAAGAAAUUGUACAAGUUCUAGCCAAAACUCACACUUAGAGAAUUUUGCGUACAGUUUUUCCUUUCUUAGUGUCUCCAACGUCAAACAUAAAUGUUCCACGUGUUCUUCUUGAGAUUUUGAAUACACCAACAUAUCAUCAAUGAAUACCACCACAAAGUUAUCUAGGAAUGGUUUAAACACUAUUCUCAUCAUAUCCAUGAACGUUGCAUGGGCGUUUGUCAAUCCGAAAGACAUCACCAGAAACUCAUAAUGUUCAUACCGAGUUUGGAAUGCCAUCUUCGGUACAUCCUCCUUCCUUACUUUCAGUUGAUGAUACCCACUUCUCAAAUCUAUUUUCGAGAAAUAUCUAUCACCCUUCAAUUGAUCAAACAAGUCAUCUAUUCUUGGCAAUGGAUAUUUAGUCUUAAUAGUGACUUUGUUUAAUUCCCUAAAAUCAAUGCAAAGCCGCAUUGACCCAUCCUUCUUCUUCACGAAUAACACAGGUGCUCCCCACGGUGACACACUCGACUGAAUGUACUCUUAUCUAACAAUUCUUGUAGUUGUACUAUCAGUUCCUUUAUCUCUACCAGAGCCAUUCUGUAUGGGGCCUUCGAUAUUGGAGCGGUUCCUGGCGCUAGGUCGAUCACGAACUCAAUCUCUCGAUCAGGCGGAAGUCCUGGAAAAUCUUCUGGAAACACAUCCAUGAAUUCGCGAACCACUGGUAUCUCUUCCAGUUUCACCCCCUUCCUCUGAGUAUCGAUUAUAUAAGCUAAAUAACCCACACAACCUUGACUCAACAACUUCUUGGCCUGCAUAAUCGUUAGACAUCUCGCAUAUCUAGGCGAUCUGCUACCAAAGAAAACUACCUUUAACGGAGUCAUAAGGGUUACACAUUUCUUUUGGCAAUCAAUUAUCGCUCCAUAAUUGAACAACCAAUCCAUUCCCAAAAUAACAUCAAACUCUCCGAGUUUUAUCGGAAUUAAAUCUACCAUCAUAACAUUUCCGUUAAUGUUCACCCUACAAUUCUUUUAUAUGAACCUAACAUGAAUUACCUCCCUAUUCGUAAUUUCUAUAUUUAAAGGAAAAUUCAAUUCUUCGCUAGGCAACCCUAACCUCUUAGCAAAUUCAUCAAAUAUAAAUGAGCAAGUAGCACCCGAAUCAAAUAAUACAUAAGCAUCAAUAUCAUUAAUUAGGAUAAUACCUGACACCACAUCUUUCGAUUGCACUGCAUCCUGCACCAUCAUAUUGAAUGUUCUGGUUGUGGGUCUGUUGGAUGACAUUGGUCCCGUAAUGGUCAAUGUGCCUCCACUGCUACCUCCCUUAUUUCCCGUCGUCUCUUCAGCUUUCUUCUUAGGGAACUCAUGAGCAAAAUGAUCCUUUGACCCGUACUUGUAGCAAACAUUCUUCUUGGGUUGACUGCAAUUUGGGGCAAUGUGACCUUCCUGGCCACAGUUAACGCAUACACGCUUCCCCCUUAAGCAUACACCUACGUCAAAAUUCCUUCAUGUAGCACAUUCUUCGAACUUCUUCUUCUGCUGAUUACCCUACUAGUUUCCUGAACCCACAUUUCUAUUCCAUUUCCUCUUCUGAUUAUUGCUACCAUUUCCACAGUUACUACCACCAUUCCUAACUUCUCCGUCAUUCUUCUUAUUUCUCUGCUCAUGGUUGUGCUUUGUUAUAGCCUCGCCUCCACUCUCAACGAGAAUUGCCUUCUCAAGCACCGCUGCGAAUGGCUUCAGCUGGAAAAGGGAGACCCUACUGUAUAACCAUGGUUUUAGUCCCUGCUCAAACCUCCUAGCCUUGCGCUCAUCUGUGUUGACUUGAUAUGGCGCAAACCUCGCUAGCUCAUUGAAUUUUGCGGCAUAUUCUGACACCGUCAUUGUUCCCUGCUUCAGCUCCAGAAACUGCACCUCCAUCUGAUUCUUUGAACUCUCUGGGAAAUAGGUCUCGAAGAAUAUUUCCUUAAACCUAUCCCAUGUCAUCACCCCUUGUCCUCCUCGAGUUUUAUUGGCUUGCCACCAAUAACUAGCAUCUGCUUUAAACAUAAAUGUUGCAAAAGCAGUCUUCUAAUUCUCACCUACUCUAGCUACCUCAAAUAUUUUCUCUAUCUCCAUGAUCCAGGUCUGUGCCUCAACUGGAUUCAUGGACCCACGGAAUUCUAGUGGUCCAACCGCCUUGAAGUGCUUAAAUGUCACAGCUUGAUUCUGGGGUUGAUUCUGUAAUGCACCUGCCAGUAACGUCAUGAAUUACUGAACUGGAUUAGACUCAACAUUGUUGUUAUUCUCAGGGGUCCUUUGUCGGGGUUGACGUCUUGGAGGCAUUUUCUGUUAAAAUACACCCAUUAGAUUCUAUUCAACCUUUUAAGUAUUUAUUACUUAAUUUGCACACUAUAAAAGAUUAUCACAUAACACUUUGAAUAAAAUAAUAACUUUUAUUCAUUCGUAAUCUUUUAGGAAACAUAAGAAAAAUAGCAUCUCUGCUAUUUACAUUACUUUCCUUAACCACUAAAGUUCCAGGAUAACAUCAUCAUCAUAUCCCAUAGGUUACAUAACACUUGGGACUUAUAUUUAUUUAUCAUAACAUUAAUCACAUAUCGAGUACAUUCCCUACGAUGUCCUACUAAGAUACCGUGUGGCCUAACGAUGCUCUGCCUCCAUAAUUUAGAACAUUAUUCGGCGAUCUAAUAUGUGUGAUAGAAGUGUCUCGAACUAAAUCGGAUAACCCAUGACCCGAUCUUGAGCUCGAUUAAUAACGGUGUUGAAUACGUUAUUCAUCUCUUCCAUCUUGAUCCUCUUUGCUUGUGCCUCGCUCUCUGCUAUCCCGGCUCGUUGAUAAGCUUCUUCGUACACGUUUUUGGCUCUUGCCCUCUUAGUUCUUCAGUUCUGCAAUUUCCUCUGUCAGUUGCUCAUUUUCUCCUUCGGUGUGGAUCAUCUUCUCUUCAACAUUACUCAAGCAUUCAUCUCGAUCCUGGAUCUCGUUGUCCUUCUGUGCCAUUGCGAACAGAUGUUCAGCUACUAUCUCUUGCAACUCCCGACGCUAUCCUAAAGUUCCACAUUAUGGUCGUAUACUUCGUUGUACAUACGGGCAGCGAUCGAGUUAAGUGGAAUCUCUUCCUCCUCAUCCUCCUCAUCCUCAUCCGACUGUGGCAGCUCAACGGGGUCCUCCUCGUCCAUCUCUAUCUCAUCAUCCUUAUCAGGUAAUGUGGCGACCCCAAAUCCGGAUACUUGAAACCCGAACUCGGUUCUCCACGAUACCAUUUCUUUAAGCUGAAUAAUACUAAAUAAUAAUAUAAUUCGAACUUAAUUUACAUACAUCAAAGUUUACUUUCCCAGGUACGUGACCUUCAAANNNNNNNNNNNNNNNNNNNNNNNNNNNNNNNNNNNNNNNNNNNNNNNNNNNNNNNNNNNNNNNNNNNNNNNNNNNNNNNNNNNNNNNNNNNNNNNNNNNNNNNNNNNNNNNNNNNNNNNNNNNNNNNNNNNNNNNNNNNNNNNNNNNNNNNNNNNNNNNNNNNNNNNNNNNNNNNNNNNNNNNNNNNNNNNNNNNNNNNNNNNNNNNNNNNNNNNNNNNNNNNNNNNNNNNNNNNNNNNNNNNNNNNNNNNNNNNNNNNNNNNNNNNNNNNNNNNNNNNNNNNNNNNNNNNNNNNNNNNNNNNNNNNNNNNNNNNNNNNNNNNNNNNNNNNNNNNNNNNNNNNNNNNNNNNNNNNNNNNNNNNNNNNNNNNNNNNNNNNNNNNNNNNNNNNNNNNNNNNNNNNNNNNNNNNNNNNNNNNNNNNNNNNNNNNNNNNNNNNNNNNNNNNNNNNNNNNNNNNNNNNNNNNNNNNNNNNNNNNNNNNNNNNNNNNNNNNNNGUUUUUCAUUUUCGAAAAGGUUUAGCAGAAAUUCAUCCGCAAACCGUCAUAACUUACGGGCACGGAGGGUGAUCAGCCCCGUUGUACCCUGUAUUGAUCAAUACUACAUAACUUGAACGAAAUUCAUCGCUCACCCUUUGUCCGCCGAAGCGCAUAAAAAUUUUCCCAUUAUCGGGAUGUUCAUACAUGCCUGGUUCCAAACCCGAAGGUUUUUAAUCUUGCUUGGGACACUUGUAAUUUAACAUAUAUAUAUAUACGGGUAAUUGACAAAGGUGUAUCAACAUGUGAAUAAAUGCCAUGAUUAUCCAAGUGGGGACACUUGUAUAACCAUUUAGAAAUCAACUUAACAGAAUAUAUAUCUGAGCUAACAUGUUGAUAAUCAAAGCGUACAUAAUCUGUACAGGAAUAGAAUAAUUCUGAAACUUCUUACUCAUGUCCAUUGCAUAAAGGAAAUGCAAAGGUAAGAUACUUGCCUGAUUUGCUGAUUACAAAUCUCAACUUAGGUUUUAUCUCUUUAUCACAACCUAUCAAUAAUCAGAUCAUUCGUUCGAUUAGAACAAUAUAUCAUAACACAUAGUACUGUCUAUUACAGUCAGCACAUAGUCUAAUCACGUCAUCACAUAAUCGCAGUGAUCAUACUUUUAGUUCAUAUUCUAUACUUGAAAUAUUUUUAUACAUUUUUCAAAUAUCUCAUCCAUGCUCUUACAGAAGUCUUUUCUUUCUAUUAUAGGGUCUGACAUUUGUCGGCGUACCGACAGCUUUAUCGGGUAAAUACUGAGUCUAAGACUCUUAUCCUAUACCUCAACAUCUGUAAAUAUCAAACAUUUUAUUUUUAAUCAUUUUCGAAUUUUCCAGAAAUUGAAAAAUUUAAAAUAAUUCAAAUCUGUCACUACCGGGCCUAUAGUGAUAUAACUGUUACUAUAGGUGUUCCUCAAAACUUCAUAACUUCAUAAUCGGUUCUCAAGUCAGCUAGUUUGGCCGGCUAUAACUUUCAAACAUCGGAAUCAUAAUUAAAUGAUUUAAACAUUAAACAAUUCCAUUAUCAUUAAUAAUUAAUUUAUAUUAAACUAUUAAUGAAACCAUUGCCAAAAUAUAAAAGUUAUUUAUAAUAACUCAAACUAUUUUUAAAACAUUUAUAUUACCCUUAAAUGAUUUUUAAAACAAUUAAAAUCAUUUUUAAAUAAUCACCAUUAAUAUAUAAAUAUUAAUGUACUAUUCAUCCAAAUAUUAAAAGUCAUUAAUUAUAACUUAAAAUAUUUUUAAAUCCUUAAUAUCCUCUUUAAAUGAUUUUUAAAUAAAUAAAACCAUUUUUAAACUAUUUAUUUAAUAAUAAUUAUUAAAUAAACUAAAUAUCAUUAAUAUUAUCUUAAUAUCAUUAAUAUUAAAUUAUUAAUGAAAUUAUCCUUUAAAUAUUAAAAGUUAUAUUUUAUAACUUAAAAUAUUUUUAAAUACCUUAAUUUCAUUUAAAAUGAUUUUUAUAAUAUUAAAAUCAUUUUUAAACUAAAUUAUUUAAUAUAAUCAUUAAAUAACUUUAAUAUCAUUAAUAUAUAAUUAAUUAAUGAAAUUCAUCACAAAAUAUUAAAAGUCAUGGGAAAUAACUUAAAAUAUUUUCUUAUACCAUAAUAUAAUUUUUCAUGAUUUUUCAUGAAUUAAAACUAUUUUUAAAUCAUUUAUUUAAUAUUAUAAUUAAAUAAAUAAAUACCUUUUAUAUUCCAAAAAUAUUAAAUAUUUAUGAAAUAUACUCAAAAUAAUUAAAAACUAUUUUUCAGACUUUAAAAUAAUUUUUCAUAAUUUAUUUGGUAUUUUUAAUAAUUAAAAUCUAAUUUUUCUAAUUUUUAAAUCAUUUUUCGGAAAAUCAGAAAUUAAAAUAAUUAAAACUGUCGCUAAAGGCCCCUAUAGUGACAGAAGUGUCGCUAUAGGUGUUCUUGAGCCUACCCAGAUCUUCAUAAGGCAGAACCGAGUGGCCUACUUUGACCGUGAAUAACUCUCUCAUCUUAACGAAUUUGGACAAUCUAUAAAUUGGGUCUUGUAGAGGAAAUACAAGACUACAAGAUCCAACAAUCAUAACCUCUAAACAAACAUCAGAUCUGGGAUAAAUCAGCCAUCAAAGUAGCUACCAAAGCUGUUCUUCACGAAGAACAGUUCGAGGUGCCUACUUUGGACCUCUAUAACUUGAUGAUCGUGUAACGUUUAUGUGAUCUAUCAAUUCCAGUGUGUAGACAACAUGUAGGACUACAACUCCAACACUUAACAUCAUCAUAACAACAAUAAAUCAAGCAUCUAAAGUAUGGUCAAACCUUGUAAGAAAAAUCAACACUUAGAAAAUUCUGGGCUGCCCAAAAUUUUCCGGUCAAUGCCGGUCAACCCAGUUUGACCUUAAAUAACUCUUAAUCCAUAAUAUAUAUGGACCUGAUUCGUUUUGGAGGUUAAAUACCACAUAACAAGAUACACAUAAAAACCUUUAGAACACAAAAAAAAUUAAAGAUAACCGAGAUAUAAGGCCUGACAUUUGCCAAAAAAAUAUUUUCUUGACACUUAGAAUAUUUUCUGGGUUUGAAGAACAGUCGGUCAAUGCCGGUCAACCAACUUUGACCACUUAUAAAUCCCGAUCUACAAUAGCUAUGAACUUUAUUCCUUUUGGAGAGAAAAGACCACAUAUCAGGCUACCUAUAACAACUUUUAAACAGCAAAACUCGAGAUCGACCAAAGAGUUAUAGCCUCUGACAUUUGGUGAAAAAUAACAGAAUUCGGUUUUUCCAACUUGCUCAAAUCUUCAAAUUCGUGCACUUUGAUGUUAUGGGUGUGUGUUUUUACAACCCAGAACAUUAAUAGACUCCCUAUUACACUACUUUAAACAAUCAAUUGCAUCAAUUAACAUCGAAUCGAAGGAUUUCAAAAUUAGAGAAUUUCAUACCUUUUCUAGCUUCGAUUUUUGAUUUUUUUGGCUUUGAUGCUUCUGAUUUGUUGUUUGUGAUGGUUGGGCUUUGUUUAGGGACUGAUAUGCUAGAUAAUUUCGUUGGCUAGAGGUUGAGAGAGUUUGUCUAGAGAGUUUGUGAAAUUUUAGUGUGUAUUUUCAUUAACUCUCCUUGAU